UAGGCGUCACGGCGUUCCGCGGUUUCCUUGGAGCGGUUAUGAAGGUGGUUUAGCAACAUUCUCUUGGCUAUCCUUUCAGGGGUCAGGGGGUAACUCUCCCUGAGAGCGGGAUCCUGUCUUCGCGCCCAGAAGGCUUCAUUCUCGAGAUAAGGCGUGACCCUGAGAAGCCCCAGAGAGUUGUAAGAAGUUCCAUGUAGAAGUUCUUCCAUCAUUGGCUUCCUAUAUGAAUGUGUAGUUUCCUGAUUCUACUUCACAGCCUAUAAUCAUGGACUUGUUUAUGUGACCUUCCAAGCCAAUAACAAUUCAACUGGCUGGGCUUCUCAUUUUUCUUGAAGAUUAAUGAGUUACACUGGAUAUGCUGCUGUUCUUUAUUUUGGGAUUGCUCGUACAUUUUGUGUUCUUCGCCUCCAUCUUUGAUAUUUAUUUUACAUCUCCUUUGGUUCAUGGAAUGACUCCUCAGUUUACGUCAUUGCCUCCUCCAGCAAGAAGAUUAGUGCUGUUUGUUGCUGAUGGCCUGCGAGCAGAUUCACUUUAUGAGUUAGAUGAAAAUGGAAAUUCCAGAGCGCCAUUUAUUAGGAAUAUCAUAAUGCAUGAAGGCAGCUGGGGGAUUUCUCAUACUCGUGUGCCAACUGAAUCUCGGCCAGGUCAUGUCGCCCUAAUAGCUGGUUUUUAUGAAGAUGUCAGUGCAGUUGCCAAAGGAUGGAAGGAAAAUCCUGUAGAAUUUGAUUCUCUUCUUAAUGAAAGCAAGUACACAUGGGGCUGGGGAAGCCCGGAUAUCUUGUCUAUGUUUGCCAAAGAUGUUAGUGGAGACCAUGUUUUUAUACAUACUUAUGAUGCUGAUGAUGAGGAUUUUGGUGCUCAUGAUGUAACAAAACUGGAUACGUGGGUUUUUGAUAAUGUUAAGGAAUUCUUUCGUGCUGCCAGAAACAACCAAUCUUUGUUUUCUAAACUAAACGAAGAGAAAAUAGUUUUUUUCUUACAUUUAUUAGGAAUAGAUACAAAUGGACAUGCUCACCGACCAUCAUCGAGGGAAUAUAAGGACAAUAUUAAAAUAGUCGAUGCAGGAAUAAAAGAAAUUGUGUCUAUGUUUAAACAUUUUUAUGGAAAUGAUGGGAAAACAGCAUUUGUCUUUACAGCUGACCAUGGAAUGACAGACUGGGGUGUCCAUGGGGCUGGUCAUCCUUCAGAGACUUUAACUCCUUUUGUCACUUGGGGAGCUGGAAUCAAGUAUCCCCAAAACGUAUCAACUCAGCAAUUUGAAGAUGCGUUUUUGAAAGAAUGGAAAUUGGAGAACUGGAAGAGGCAAGAUAUCAAUCAGGCUGAUAUCGCUCCAUUGAUGGCUUCUCUUAUUGGAGUUCCCUUUCCGCUUAAUUCAGUGGGGAUCCUUCCUUUGGAUUAUCUUAACAACACUGAUCUCUUCAAAGCGGAGAGCAUAUUUACAAAUGCCAUACAGAUCCUUGAACAGUUCAAGGUGAAAAUGACUCAGAAAAAAGAAGUUACUUUAUCAUUUUUGUUUACACCGUUUAAGUUGCUUUCUGAGUCUAAACAGCACAACAUUUUAAGAAAAGCAAGAUCUUAUAUAAAACAGAGAAAGUAUGAUGAAGCAAUCUCCCUUUGCAAGGAGCUGAUUCAUCUUGCAUUGAAAGGAUUGUCCUAUUAUCACACUUACGACAGAUUCUUUUUGGGCAUCACCGUUGUUCUUGGUUUCGUGGGAUGGACAUCUUAUGCUUCUUUGUUGAUCCUCAAGUUUCAUUCCAACCUUCCCAGAGGUGGUAGUAGAGAAGUUAAGAAACCAAGCCGUCUCCUGCAAUAUAGUUUUGUAGCUAUUGGUGUUUUAGUAGCAUUUUUCCUGCUGAUUCAAGCAUAUCCCUGGACUUAUUACAUCUAUUGUUUAUUGCCAGUGCCAAUAUGGUAUGCGGUUCUAAGAGAAUUUCAAGUUAUUCAAGACCUUGUUGCAUCACUCUUGAGCUACCCUCCGAGUCAUUUUGUUGGAUACCUGUUAGUCUCUACCCUGGGAAUUGAAGUAUUAGUUCUCAGUUUUUUCUACCGCUAUAUGCUUACAGCUGGACUUAUUGCGUUUGCGGGUUGGCCAUUUAUCACUCAGUUGUGGACUCGAGCAAAGAGGACCUCACUGAAUUGGAUUUUCUUCUCUUUGCUCCUGGCAGUGUUCCCUCUGAUGCCUGUUGUAGGACGAAAGCCAGAUAUCUCUCUAGUAAUGACUGCCGGCUUGCUGGUUCUUCUCCUAUCCCUGUUUGUUGUAGCGUCUCUCACAAAAAGAAAAGAUAGUUUUGUAAAUGAAGAGCUACUGUUGCAUCUAUUACAGAUGCUGAGCAUGGUGCUUUCCAUGUACGUUGUGUAUAGCACCGAUAAUAGUCUACUCAAGAAACAAGGACUUCCUCUUAUUAACCAGAUCAUUAGCUGGAUAAUAUUAGCCUCUUCCUUCGUCCUGCCGCUACUGAGCCCCCCGAUUCUUUUUGAGCGAUUGUUUAGCAUACUUCUUUCUCUGAUGUCAACCUACAUACUUCUAAGCAGAGGGUAUGAAGCUCUCUUUCCAUUAGUAUUGUCGUGUUUGAUGUUUGCCUGGAUACACAUGGAACAAGAAACCCUACAACAAUCUGGUGUUUCCUGUAAACAGAAGAUCAACAGUAUCCAGUUCAUCUAUAAUACUGAUCUAACCCAGUUCCGACAGCUCUGUCUGGAUGACAUCCGGAGGGCCUUUUUCCUUGUUUUCUUCUUAGUGACAGCAUUUUUUGGAACUGGGAAUAUAGCUUCUGUUAACAGCUUUGAUGUUACCUCUGUCUAUUGCUUUCUGACCGUGUUUAGUCCCUUUAUCAUGGGAGCCCUGAUGAUGUGGAAGAUUUUAAUCCCCUUUGUUCUUGUGAUGUGUGCUUUUGAAGCAGUUCAGUUAACUACCCAGUUAUCAUCAAAAGGUCUUUUCCUCAUGGUUCUCGUCAUAUCAGACAUUAUGGCUUUGCAUUUUUUCUUCUUGGUCAGGGAUUAUGGCAGCUGGCUUGAUAUUGGAACAAGCAUCAGCCACUACGUGAUUGUCAUGUCUAUGACCAUGGUUCUGGUCUUUCUCAAUGGCCUGGCACAGCUGCUCACGACAAAGAAACUCACACUGUGUGGCAAACCCAAAAGCCAUCUCAUAUGAUGGUGCUGAAGCCGUCAUUCAGCCUCUGGAUCUCGUUUCGCCUUCUCCUUGUAAACUAAAAUCUUAUCAAGGAUUCCAUAGGAAGAUGGAUAUUGAUGCACAGAUGCCACCACAGCGUGGCUUGACGACUGGUGCUAGAUCCGCAUGUGGGAUCCAAACCUGUGGACCACGGGCCACCGAAGUGGAGUGCACGAACUUAGCUACUACGCCACCGGGCCGGCCCCUAAAGGAUUAGUUUUUAAUUGUAGACUCAAUAUCUGUUGCCACCAUAGCUUUUAUUAUGAUUUGUUUCAACAGAAUUCUUUAAAUCAGUGGUUAAACUUUCUAAUAUCAUAAGAAUCAAUGUUAAAAUUGCUUUUCUAUCUGAUUGUGAGAUUCUAGUCCAAAGGUCUUAAAGUCCUCUCAUUAAAUUUAGAUUUCCAUUCGUAAAUUAAUUCUAAUGGACAAAAUUUGUUGUAAUUUUUAUUUGGAUGUUUCUUAAAGUGACCUUUACAUCUCACUGUAGAGUUGGCCUUUUGCCCAUGGUGUGCUAGCAGAUUUUGGCUGAAGCUAAGCUUUGCUGGUCUGAGUCCUGUUUUUAAAAGAUAAUUGCUUUUGAAUUAAGUUAUAGCAUUACCAAUUCACAUCAUGAUGAGGAAGCCUUCUCCAAAUUACUAGAUUUUUCAAAUUGGCAGGUGAGUGAACAAAUACAACUUAGAAGACAAAAAAUCAGUUUGGCAAAAUGUGCUUUCUUAAUUUCUGUUCAUGAUGAAGUAUAAUUACAACAUAUUUGUGACAGUACUUCAUGGCGUACGAGCAGAAGCAUUAUAGUACCAAGAAGAAAGCACUGAUGUCCCUGUGAGAGCUCAUGCCUCGGGCUGUAGUGUAAAAUCUGGGUGGACAAGUAAGGAGCUGCUAUAGCAGAUGGUGACGUUGGCAGGUAGAGAAUGCAGGAGCUUUCACGUUGCCUCAAAGGAUUUUUAAUCAGUUUUUUCAAAAGUCAGAGAAAACUGACUUUAUAAACACUUACCAUUUAACUCCUUUUCUAUCUGGUUUGCCUUUCAUCUUUUCCUGGAUUUUCAAGCAGAGAAUGAAUGAAUAUUUUAUUACGACUUUGUAAAAGGUGUCAGUGCUCUACCUUUAUUUUGCUGUUUGAAGUAUGACUUUUUCUUAAUACUGUUUUGAGUCAGUGUGAGUUUACAAAGCAGGAGCAUGCGCCUGCAGCCGCAGGCUCUCCGCGCUCCCUGCAACUGGGCCCCCGAGACUCACCUCAGAGCAGAGUUUGCUGGACAGGCCUUUUCUGUUACACAGUUCAUCAACUCUCCUAAAGUGUUUUGCAGUGCAUAUUUUUAUAUUGAAUAGCAGAGAAAAAAUAAAUAAGAUUUAUGUAAAAUGUAUUUCUGUUUAAUUUGCUUUUUCAUUCUAACUAUGAAUACCAGAUUUCCAAAUCAAGACUUAAGACAUUUGCUGAGUAACAUCAUUUAGAUUAGGAAUUGCUAUAAAAAUUCAAGUGAGCAUAUCAGGGUAAGAAAAUAUCAAACAACAAAAAAGCCAUAGUGUGUUGCGUGAACCAUGAAUAAGUCUUGGAGGAAACUCUAAGGAUUUAGGAAACUAACUGCAGCCUAUCCACAAUUUACCAGUGUUUUAAUUCUCUGUAUUGUAUUUAGUGUGCAGUAUUUAGAACACAAAAUGCUUUUUCACUUUUUAGGGAAAUAAUGUUAUAAAUGGUAGCAUAUUCUUACAAUAAUCCCCUCAAAAUGAUUUAACAAUGAUAGAGUUGAACUACAUUUAAUCUAUUCAUCACUUAUGAUAUUGAUUCUAGCGAAAAACUCAUUCCAAAUUUCAGCCAAGUCGGAUAUUAGGAACAUAUAUGUCCACCCAGAGCCCCUACCUUUACACCCUUGUUAUGGUAGACUGGGGACCCCUUCGCUCCUCCACCUUUUGAUACAUAACUGUGCCAUCAAAAAUGUAAUUUCUGGUGGAGCUGGCCCUGGAGGACUUGGGGUUGGGGAGGAUUGCACAAAUAUUGUCCCUAAAGACAGGCACUAGAUGCUGCAGGGUUCCAGCUCUCCUGGGGAGGACUGGUUGAGCUCCCGUGUGUCCGCCAGACGCCGUCUAUUCAGGAGGCCUGAGGAGAGUGAGCUGAGUCAACUCAGUCAUUUGGAGAGGACCCCUUCGGGCCAGUUCUGAGGACUGCUUUAAGAGACCAGAGACACUUGGUAAUGCUCACCUUUUCAGAGUUACUCUUUUUAUGUCAACAUUCUCUUCAUCCUCUCUAAAAUGCUUUACAGUGGGAUUGUUACGGUAUGUGUUUUCAGUACUGUGGUAAUUACUAUCUUGUAGCAUUUUCCCAUUUCUACAUCAGCGUGAUUUGUAAGAAAGGUGGGUGGGAUUUCUGCACACAAUACUCAUUCUAUAAAAAAAACAUUUGAGAAGAUAUGUCUCACUUACUAGUUUCCUUAGAGACACUAAAACAGAUCACAGCUGUUGCUCAACUCACCACCCUUAGAAUCUCAGUAUUUAUUUGCGACAUAGCAGCAUUUCUCAAAGGAUGUCCCUUAGAACAUGAGUUCCUUAGGAUACAAAUAGAUGUCAUAAUAAAAAGGGUUCCCUGACCAAAUAUAUUUGAGAAACGCUUGGUCAAACAAAGUUAACUAGGUGUAUUUAUUGUAGUACUUUGGGAACUGAACUUGGUAUAUGCCUCGUGGAGGGAGGAAGAUAGCAGUAGGCCAAAAAUCCCACUCGCUUGAUUACAGUCCUGUCUUAAACUCUCCCUCCAACUGGUAAACAUACUUCAGAAAUGUCACCAUACACUUUUGCAUAAAAACUUCAGUUUGUCACAGUGUUUUGAAAAAAGGCGUUGUAAGCUUAACUGAAUCUUUUCCGAGAGCUGGAAAACCAUUUUCAUUUUAACCCUUAAUGUGGGAAAACUUUAAAAUGAGCUAUUAAUUUUACCUGCCUCUGUAUAAAUCAUGCCUGUUAUCAUUUAGUCUUGCAUGUAGGAACCUUCAGUCCUACAGGACUGGCAUCCAGUUCAUCACAGAUCAUCGGACAGCCCUGUUAGAAUUUGGACUAAGUCUUUAUACUUUCUAUUUUACCUCGUUUACCAGAAAAAUAAAUUUAGAACAAAUAUUGGCUUAUUUUCUUGUGAUUUGCACUGUAGAAGGUGAUUACUAGUUACAUUUUUGUGCGUUCCUUGUUUUUUCUCUUUUACUUAUUUCUCUCUUCCCCUGUUUUCUGUCUUUUCUACUCAUGUCGUUCCGCUCUCUUGGCCUCACUUAGAACUCCAUAUGUAUAGGGACGUGUUUUCCUUCAUGAGGUAGUCUCUGCAUUCGACAUGGAUACAGUGUGAGUGAGUACAGCUCAGCUGUGCCACGUCUGCUUGGCAGUCUCUUCUGGAGUAGCUGUGUUUCCGUUGCUAACCGUGUCUCUGGCAGGAGCCCCGGGGUUUGUUAUGACUCUCUGCUCACCACAGUUGACUAGUUUAGGGUGUGCAUCUGAGUAAAGGGGUGCAAGCCGGGCAAAUCUGAGUUCUUUGCAAGAUUUUCAAGCUAGAACAGAGAGAAAAUUUGUAAGACGUGGAGUUUAGGAGCUGUUGUUGGCUAAGUUUAAUUGAGAUACUCCAGUACCUUCCAGUAAGUAACCUUCCAUCACAUACUUAUUAUCCGAUAAAAAGAGGGACUUAUGUUACUGGUAUUUCUAAGAACACAGUGGAUAAUGACAAGUCCAAAGCUCCACUUAAAAUGUUUAUUUUUGUAUAUGCUUUUUACCUUAUGCUUUCUAAAUCGGCAUCGAUUGGGCAGAAUGGUUCAGUGAUGUUUCUUCUAGGUCCUUGUGGCUGCAUAGUCUGCUGCCCAGUUUCCCUUGGCUCCAACCAUUUUUUGACCCUUCCCAGUUAUUCUACAAACCAUUCAUUUCCUAAAAGAUUUUGUCUGCAUCUCUGUUGCUUAUAAUCAAGAACUUCAAUUGAUGUGCAUGCUUUGAAUGUGUUUGUAAAUGAAUCUCUUCAAUAUUCACUGUGAUUUCUAAUUAUGGCUUUUAAAAACAAUGUGAUAAAACUUAUAUAGCCCUUACAAUGUGCCAGGCAUUGUUUUAAAUGC
This is an RNA transcript of Equus quagga, 7230 nucleotides long. It is a transcript of the gene named phosphatidylinositol glycan anchor biosynthesis class N, with no coding region annotated. Lineage: Eukaryota; Metazoa; Chordata; Mammalia; Perissodactyla; Equidae. The record is from RefSeq and is a predicted model, not a curated record. The transcript has 31 exons.